RNAcentral lists this ribosomal RNA (77 nucleotides) under Alkalicoccus luteus. RNAcentral describes it as "Bacillus luteus partial 16S ribosomal RNA". The stretch from base 1 to 67 matches the Rfam family "Bacterial small subunit ribosomal RNA", at positions 1467 to 1533 of the family's 1533-position model. Lineage: Bacteria; Bacillati; Bacillota; Bacilli; Caryophanales; Bacillaceae. The record is from RNAcentral.
ACAAAUGAUUGGGGUGAAGUCGUAACAAGGUAUCCGUACCGGAAGGUGCGGAUGGAUCACCUCCUUUCUAAGGAGCA